This 128-nucleotide non-coding RNA is filed under the name Roseobacter denitrificans OCh 114. Its description in RNAcentral is "Ruegeria cis8 sRNA". It matches the Rfam family "Ruegeria cis8 sRNA". Rfam says of the family: Cis-encoded. Targets hypothetical protein. The record is from Rfam by way of RNAcentral. Lineage: Bacteria; Pseudomonadati; Pseudomonadota; Alphaproteobacteria; Rhodobacterales; Roseobacteraceae.
AUCGACAAGACCUUGGCAAUGUAAGGAAUGAGGGGCAGGUUCAGGACCAGCAAGACCAGAUUACCGAUGAACAUUGACAUGAUGACGGCCCAGAAAACCUCCGGUGCGUCCAGCAUCAAGCGGGGACC